This 125-nucleotide ribosomal RNA is filed under the name uncultured Clostridium sp. RNAcentral's name for it is "partial 16S ribosomal RNA". It matches the Rfam family "Bacterial small subunit ribosomal RNA", at positions 383 to 526 of the family's 1533-position model. Lineage: Bacteria; Bacillati; Bacillota; Clostridia; Eubacteriales; Clostridiaceae. The record is from RNAcentral.
CUGACGCAGCACGCCGCGUGGGUGAUGAAGGUCUUCGGAUUGUAAAGCCCUGUCUUCUGGGACGAUAAUGACGGUACCAGAGGAGGAAGCCACGGCUAACUACGUGCCAGCAGCCGCGGUAAUAC